AUUGAACGCUGGCGGCAUGCUUUACACAUGCAAGUCGAACGGUAACAGGUUAAGCUGACGAGUGGCGAACGGGUGAGUAAUGCAUCGGAACGUGCCCGGUCGUGGGGGAUAACACUUCGAAAGAAGUGCUAAUACCGCAUACGAUCUGAGGAUGAAAGAGGGGGACCGUAAGGCCUCGCGCGAUCGGAGCGGCCUAGGUCAGAUUCGGUAGUUGGUGGGGUAAAGGCUCACCAAGCCGACGAUCUGUAGCUGGUCUGAGAGGACGACCAGCCACACUGGGACUGAGACACGGCCCAGACUCCUACGGGAGGCAGCAGUGGGGAAUUUUGGACAAUGGGCGCAAGCCUGAUCCAGCAAUGCCGCGUGCAGGAAGAAGGCCUUCGGGUUGUAAACUGCUUUUGUACGGAGCGAAAAGGCUCUCUCUAAUACAGGGGGCUCAUGACGGUACCGUAAGAAUAAGCACCGGCUAACUACGUGCCAGCCGCCGCCGUAA
Molecule: ribosomal RNA, 493 nt
Filed under: uncultured bacterium
Lineage: Bacteria
Description: partial 16S ribosomal RNA
Rfam family: Bacterial small subunit ribosomal RNA
Source: RNAcentral